Molecule: long non-coding RNA, 665 nt
Filed under: Panax ginseng (ginseng)
Lineage: Eukaryota; Viridiplantae; Streptophyta; Magnoliopsida; Apiales; Araliaceae
Description: long non-coding RNA (PGIN_LNC012491)
Source: RNAcentral
CUGAGGGCUUAUAGUCAGGUGCCUCAUUCACUUUUGAUGAUAAAGUGUAACACUCGGGUGCCUCGUCACUUGGGUCGUCCAAUUUCUUGGCAAGUGCAGUCUACGAGGACUUGAAAAUGGGUGCCUCGUCACUUGGGUCGUCCAAUAUUUUGGCAAGUGUAAUCUACGAGGACUUGAAAUCGGGUGCCUCGUCACUUGAGUCAUCCAAUUUCUUGGCAAGUGCAGUCUACGAGGACUUGAAAUCGGGUGCCUCGUCACUUGGGUCGUCCAAUUUCUUGGCAAGUGCAGUCUAAGAGGACUUAACCACUGUUUAGAGUGGACCACCAUCUUGGGUGGGUUUUUUUUUUCGUCAAUUCUUGUGCCUCCUCCCUUGGUCAUCCAAUUUACUUGGCAAAGGAUAUUCCAGAGGACUUAAACCUACAUUUUUGGUGGACCACCAUCUUGGGUGGAUUUUUAAUUCAUCUGUAGUUCAAAGUUUGUUCGAUGGUACGUAGAGCCAAUAUUUUAGUUCUUGACUUACAGGACUGCACCAUGGGUGAUGGUGUUGCACGUUUCUUCUCCUAGUUCAAUCUCCCCAGCCGCCAGUUUCUCAUGGUAUAUCCUCCGUAGACUGUAACAGUCCAUAGUGGAAUGCCCUGCGUAUUGGUGGUAUACACAGAAGUCUG